RNAcentral lists this long non-coding RNA (860 nucleotides) under Citrus sinensis (sweet orange). RNAcentral describes it as "long non-coding RNA (CSIN_LNC003547)". The record is from RNAcentral. Lineage: Eukaryota; Viridiplantae; Streptophyta; Magnoliopsida; Sapindales; Rutaceae.
GUUAAUCUUAUAUUUAAAGGCCAUGCGUUUUCCUUUUACACUGCUACGGUAGAAACAAAAACUAAUAUGGGUUUCAAUUCAUAUUGGCUCACUUUCAUAUUGAUCAGUAGCCUGUUACUUUCACAUUCAACUUGCAUGGCCAUGGCUACUGAAGCGGGUUCUGUGUCUUACAAGUUGAAAGUAGUGUCCAAGAGAACAGUUGGAACUUUGCCGCCAUCUCCCAAGAAAAACCCUCCAAUUCGCUGGAGACCCGUUCCUCCUCCGCCAGGGUUAUAGCCGCUGUCAUCAUCAAUUGCUCCUCCAUAAUCAGUGCUAUCUUUCACUUUGAUAUCAUCUUGUCUUGUUAAUUUUGUAUCCUUUCAAUACUUUGUAAUAAGUUUUGAGAUCGACACCUUUACCCCCCACAGAUUUUAGGUUUUAUCACUUAUGCCAUUUAGUUUUCAAAAUGCCACGUUGCAUCCUUGACGUCAAUCUUUUAAAUAUGUUUGUUCUAUGGUUGGAAUGAGUUUUUCGGUGAAAAGUUUUGAUAUAGAGAAGGUAUCAUAGUAUUAUGAAAAUUGUUCAGUACAAGUAGUAAAAUCUAAAAACUCUUAAGGGGGAAGAUGUCAUUCUCCAUUUUAUUCUGAUGUACACAGUCUUGAUCUUCUUCAAUAAUUGGUGGAGCUACAUAAGUUUGUUCUGCUUUCUUUGUUUGAUCUUUUGUUGUUGCAAAGACUACAUGAGUUUAUUACAUACCUCCAAAUAAUUGGAAGACAUCUCUUCCCCUACAUAUAUGCAAGUGACUUGAACUCACUUACUUAGAUCUAUGGGAAGAAGUGUACUGUGGUUUACCUUUAGCAUGAUUGGAGGUUCCCAUGUUC